UCCGUUUGAUCCUGGCAGAGGUUACUGCUAUCGAGGUUCGACUAAGCCAUGCGAGUCGAAUGUAGCAAUACAUGGCGAACUGCUCAGUAACACGUGGACAACCUGCCCUUAGGACGGGGAUAAACCCGGGAAACUGGGUAUAAUACCCGAUAGGUCUCGAUUGCUGGAAUGCAUCGAGAUUUAAAGCUCCGGCGCCUAAGGAUGGGUCUGCGGCCUAUCAGGUAGUAGUGGGUGUAGCGUACCUACUAGCCUACGACGGGUACGGGUUGUGAGAGCAAGAGCCCGGAGAUGGAUUCUGAGACACGAAUCCAGGCCCUACGGGGUGCAGCAGGCGCGAAAACUUUACAAUGCUGGCAACAGCGAUAAGGGAACCUCGAGUGCCAGGUUACAAAUCUGGCUGUCGAGAUGCCUAAAAAGCAUUUCAUAGCAAGGGCCGGGCAAGACCGGUGCCAGCCGCCGCGGUAACACCGGCGGCUCGAGUGGUAACCGUUAUUAUUGGG
Molecule: ribosomal RNA, 500 nt
Filed under: uncultured methanogenic archaeon
Lineage: Archaea; Methanobacteriati; Methanobacteriota
Description: bacterial SSU rRNA
Rfam family: Archaeal small subunit ribosomal RNA
Source: RNAcentral